GGGUUGUGAGGUUAAGCGAACAAGCGUACACGGUGGAUGCCCUGGCAGUCAGAGGCGAUGAAGGACGUGCUAAUCUGCGAAAAGCGCCGGUAAGGUGAUAUGAACCGUUAUAACCGGCGAUGUCCGAAUGGGGAAACCCGGUGCACUUCGGUGCAUCAUCGUUAGCUGAAUACAUAGGCUAACGAGGCGAACCGGGGGAACUGAAACAUCUAAGUACCCCGAGGAAAAGAAAUCAACCGAGAUUCCCCCAGUAGCGGCGAGCGAACGGGGAACAGCCCAGAGCCUGAAUCAGCUUGUGUGUCAGUGGAACGGUCUGGAAAGGCCGGCGAUACAGGGUGACAGCCCCGUACACGAAGGCACACAGGCUGUGAGCUCGAUGAGUAGGGCGGGACACGUGAUAUCCUGUCUGAAGAUGGGGGGACCAUCCUCCAAGGCUAAAUACUCCUGACUGACCGAUAGUGAACCAGUACCGUGAGGGAAAGGCGAAAAGAACCCCGGCGAGGGGAGUGAAACAGAACCUGAAACCGUGUACGUACAAGCAGUGGGAGCCUUCGUAAGAGGGUGACUGCGUACCUUUUGUAUAAUGGGUCAGCGACUUAUAUUCUGUAGCAAGGUUAACCGUAUAGGGGAGCCGAAGGGAAACCGAGUCUUAACCGGGCGUUAAGUUGCAGGGUAUAGACCCGAAACCCGGUGAUCUAGCCAUGGGCAGGUUGAAGGUUGGGUAACACUAACUGGAGGACCGAACCGACUAAUGUUGAAAAAUUAGCGGAUGACCUGUGGCUGGGGGUGAAAGGCCAAUCAAACCGGGAGAUAGCUGGUUCUCCCCGAAAGCUAUUUAGGUAGCGCCUCGUGAAUUCAUCUCCGGGGGUAGAGCACUGUUUCGGCUAGGGGGCCAUCCCGGCUUACCAACCCGAUGCAAACUGCGAAUACCGGAGAAUGUUAUCACGGGAGACACACGGCGGGUGCUAACGUCCGUCGUGAAGAGGGAAACAACCCAGACCGCCAGCUAAGGUCCCAAAGUCAUGGUUAAGUGGGAAACGAUGUGGGAAGGCCCAGACAGCCAGGAUGUUGGCUUAGAAGCAGCCAUCAUUUAAAGAAAGCGUAAUAGCUCACUGGUCGAGUCGGCCUGCGCGGAAGAUGUAACGGGGCUAAACCAUGCACCGAAGCUGCGGCAGCGACACUAUGUGUUGUUGGGUAGGGGAGCGUUCUGUAAGCCUGUGAAGGUGUGCUGUGAGGCAUGCUGGAGGUAUCAGAAGUGCGAAUGCUGACAUAAGUAACGAUAAAGCGGGUGAAAAGCCCGCUCGCCGGAAGACCAAGGGUUCCUGUCCAACGUUAAUCGGGGCAGGGUGAGUCGACCCCUAAGGCGAGGCCGAAAGGCGUAGUCGAUGGGAAACAGGUUAAUAUUCCUGUACUUGGUGUUACUGCGAAGGGGGGACGGAGAAGGCUAUGUCGGCCGGGCGACGGUUGUCCCGGUUUAAGCGUGUAGGCUGACUUUCCAGGCAAAUCCGGAAGGUUAAGGCUGAGGCGUGAUGACGAGGCACCACGGUGCUGAAGUGACAAAUGCCCUGCUUCCAGGAAAAGCCUCUAAGCAUCAGGUAACAUCAAAUCGUACCCCAAACCGACACAGGUGGUCAGGUAGAGAAUACCAAGGCGCUUGAGAGAACUCGGGUGAAGGAACUAGGCAAAAUGGUGCCGUAACUUCGGGAGAAGGCACGCUGACAUGUAGGUGAAGCCCCUGCGGGUGGAGCUGAAGUCAGUCGAAGAUACCAGCUGGCUGCAACUGUUUAUUAAAAACACAGCACUGUGCAAACACGAAAGUGGACGUAUACGGUGUGACGCCUGCCCGGUGCCGGAAGGUUAAUUGAUGGGGUUAUCGCAAGAGAAGCUCCUGAUCGAAGCCCCGGUAAACGGCGGCCGUAACUAUAACGGUCCUAAGGUAGCGAAAUUCCUUGUCGGGUAAGUUCCGACCUGCACGAAUGGCGUAAUGAUGGCCAGGCUGUCUCCACCCGAGACUCAGUGAAAUUGAACUCGCUGUGAAGAUGCAGUGUACCCGCGGCAAGACGGAAAGACCCCGUGAACCUUUACUACAGCUUGACACUGAACAUUGAGCCUUGAUGUGUAGGAUAGGUGGGAGGCUUUGAAGCGUGGACGCCAGUCUGCGUGGAGCCGACCUUGAAAUACCACCCUUUAAUGUUUGAUGUUCUAACCUGGCGCCGUGAUCCGGCGUGGGGACAGUGUCUGGUGGGUAGUUUGACUGGGGCGGUCUCCUCCCAAAGUGUAACGGAGGAGCACGAAGGUCAGCUAAUCCUGGUCGGACAUCAGGAGGUUAGUGCAAUGGCAUAAGCUGGCUUGACUGCGAGAGUGACGGCUCGAGCAGGUGCGAAAGCAGGUCAUAGUGAUCCGGUGGUUCUGUAUGGAAGGGCCAUCGCUCAACGGAUAAAAGGUACUCCGGGGAUAACAGGCUGAUACCGCCCAAGAGUUCAUAUCGACGGCGGUGUUUGGCACCUCGAUGUCGGCUCAUCACAUCCUGGGGCUGAAGUAGGUCCCAAGGGUAUGGCUGUUCGCCAUUUAAAGUGGUACGCGAGCUGGGUUUAGAACGUCGUGAGACAGUUCGGUCCCUAUCUGCCGUGGGCGCUGGAGAAUUGAGGGGGGCUGCUCCCAGUACGAGAGGACCGGAGUGGACGCAUCACUGGUGUUCGGGUUGUCAUGCCAAUGGCACUGCCCGGUAGCUAAAUGCGGAAGAGAUAAGUGCUGAAAGCAUCUAAGCACGAAACUUGCCCCGAGAUGAGUUCUCCCUGAGACUGUAAGUCUCCUGAAGGAACGUUGAAGACGACGACGUUGAUAGGCCGGGUGUGUAAGCGCAGCGAUGCGUUGAGCUAACCGGUACUAAUGAACCGUGAGGCUUAACC
Molecule: ribosomal RNA, 2909 nt
Filed under: Cronobacter sakazakii
Lineage: Bacteria; Pseudomonadati; Pseudomonadota; Gammaproteobacteria; Enterobacterales; Enterobacteriaceae
Description: bacterial LSU rRNA
Rfam family: Bacterial large subunit ribosomal RNA
Source: RNAcentral